Molecule: long non-coding RNA, 36099 nt
Filed under: Jatropha curcas
Lineage: Eukaryota; Viridiplantae; Streptophyta; Magnoliopsida; Malpighiales; Euphorbiaceae
Description: long non-coding RNA (JCUR_LNC002098)
Source: RNAcentral
GGUGGUGGUUGUUGAUAUAAUAUAAAUAUAUGUUUUAUUUAUUUUUUUUUUAAGAAGAAAUCAAAGUAAAAAUUUCAUUAAGAGGAAACUGUAUACAUAUAUAUAUGAUACAGAUUUAGAUGUUUCUAUGUUUUUAUAUUUUUGUAUAGAAAGUCUAAUAAUAAUCUAUUUAUACAAAGAAUAAAAAAAUACAAUUUUGAUUUGAAGUAUUGAUUGAGUUGAUAGAACAUAAUAUUUGUGUAAAAGGUGAUCGCUUGCUUCACUUGGGCGCUAUUUAUAGCCAUUAUUCGACUCUAUAAGUCCAAUUUGAUUUCUUUCGAAAAUCUGCACUUAUUUUUGCAUAAACGCUAGGCAAAAUCAUCAUUAUAAUGACAAGAAUAACUUAUAAUUAGAUCUGACAACAAAACCAAAAUCUUGUUCUUCUAGAACCAAGAUCUUCCCUCUUGGCAAGAGAUUAUGAAUGGCUCCACGUAGCCAAUUUUGAUUGGUUCCCAGUAUAUAGGGUGACAAUAAAUCUCAAUAACUGAAUAAUAAUAUACAGAUUUGAGAAUUAUUUGCAAAAAUAUAAAUAAAAAAAGAAAAGAAAAAGAGGUGACCAUCAGUGAAAGCUCAUCGGCAGUCGCCCAUGGAAGGGAAGAAGAAAAAUAGAGAGCGCAUAGGUUUUUUUUUUUUUUUUUUGGAGAACAAAUAAUUACAUCAACUUGAUUAGAUUGACGAAAUUAUUUUAUUUAACUAUAUUAAAUGAGAGAUAACAUAUUAAAGUUCACAUAUUAAACGUUAUAAUUAUUAUGACUAGAGAUUUUUCAAAGAAUUUAUAGAAAGAAAAUUAAAUUUUCAAAAUCCUUUUGGACGUUCAAAUCAUGUAGAAAGACGAUAAAAGAAAAUUUAAUCCAUCCUAAUGAAUAGUAACGUUCUUACUAAAAAAUGAUUGAGUAUUUAAAUUAACAUGAAAUAUAAAAUUAUAAAAUAGAAUGUAGUCACAUAAUUAUUUUAAAUGAUUAAUUAUAGUAUAUAUAUAAUUAAUUAAGAAAGGCAAAUUCCCAAGGUCCUGUCAGUCACCGACGCGUGACUCUAAACAGACCCCACUUAGAGACCUCCUUUGGUAGUUGACACAUGGGAUGAUAAUUUAACCUACCAGAUUUUGGCGGGUUUAGGUAAUAUAGAAACGGAUUUGAGGUGGGUUUGGAUUGUGAUUUUAAUACAUGCAUUGGGUUUGGAGUGGAUAUGAGUUCAGGUGGGCGAGUAGUGGAUCAUUUAAAUUAAUUUAACUCCAAGCUACUUAAUAUUCUUGUAUAAUCUUUUUUUUUUUUAAAUCUUGUAUAAAAUAUACGUACAAUAUAUAUAUACCGAUAACUAUAAUAAUUUAUAAUUUAAAUAUUUAUUAAUGAAUAAAAUAUUAUUGGAAGUAAUAUAAUCUUAUGAAUAAGUAAACUUUUAAUAAAAUUAUGUCAAUUAAAUUAUAAUAUUUUAAUAAAUUGAAUUUAGUUUUUUUUUUUCAUAAAAUAUAUUAAACAAAAUCAUAUAUUUAGUAUUCAUGUCGUGUUUUAAUAAUUUAAUUGAAUAUUUUAUUGUUUGGUAAUUAUGAAAUUUAUUAAACAUAAAAAAAGUUUUUAAUUGAAUAGAAUGUUAAUAAUGUUAUAAUUAAAAUUUUUUAAAGCUACUUAUCAACAUCAAUAUUAAACUUUUAAUGAUAAUUAUAAUUCUAUCUUAAUUUGAAAUAUAACUCGUGUGAAAUGUGAAAUCUAGAUAGACUUUUAGUAAAUUAUAAUAUAACUCAUAUAAAAUAUCACUAAUAAAUUUAUAGACAUAAUUACAAUUAGAUAUUAGUAAAUAUCUUUUUAUUUUUUUAUUAGUAUCAUUAUAUAUACUAGUAUACUUAAACUUAGAAGUCUACUGUAUAUAUGUCACGACCCAUUUUAUUUCAUCGAAAUUUCUGAACGUUCUGUUUUUGGGCUUGGGCUCAAUUCAAAUUUGGGCUCAAGUUAGAAAUGCUCGGUCUUCACGACCCAUACUAUAAAAAAAAUUCGAAUUUUUGAUUUAAUAAAAAAUUCUAAAGUUUUGAAAAUAAAAAUUCGGGAUAUUACAAUCUCCCCCCCUUAAGACAAUUCGUCCUCGAAUUGAAUCUAGUGGGAAAGAAUAAGAAUGGAUGCAUGGAAAUUUUAAAGUUAUAUGAAAUUGCUUCCAAUACCAAGGAGACAGCUCGCGAGCAAAAAUAUAAAUCGAGGAAACGAAGUGAAUGAGGUAUUCUGCUUGUAUUUCUACCACCAAUCAUAUUUAAACCAAAAUUUCGUUCAAGCUAUACAAUACCACCUAGCUGAUACUUAUAGGAAGCUUUGUUACUUUAGCCUCUAAACUAUCAUCGGACAGUUGCUAGAAAAUCUUUCUUUAAAUAAAAAUCUUACAAUUAACCGAGCUUUACAACAAAAUGCUUAAUACUUAUAUUUUUCCCAAAUUAAAUUUUAUUACACAUUUCUUUAUGAAAACCAAAUACAUAAUUUGCAAAAAGUAAAACAAUUUGAAAUUUAAUUUGAUUUAUUUAUUUAACAUAUAUUAUGACGAAAUCUUUGCUUAAUCAAAGUCGAAAAACUGUUACUUUAAUCCAAGAUUUUAAGAAAAAUUUUCUUGAAAUUUUCAUUGUCUACAGGGUUAUUCGAGCUCACUCUCAGUUCUUUUAUACAAGUUCUAUUCUUGUUAAAAUACUUUUAUCGUACACUAGCGCAAUUAUUUAAAUAGCUCAUUUACUAUGGACAUUCCUGCACUAUUANNNNNNNNNNNNNNNNNNNNNNNNNNNNNNNNNNNNNNNNNNNNNNNNNNNNNNNNNNNNNNNNNNNNNNNNNNNNNNNNNNNNNNNNNNNNNNNNNNNNNNNNNNNNNNNNNNNNNNNNNNNNNNNNNNNNNNNNNNNNNNNNNNNNNNNNNNNNNNNNNNNNNNNNNNNNNNNNNNNNNNNNNNNNNNNNNNNNNNNNNNNNNNNNNNNNNNNNNNNNNNNNNNNNNNNNNNNNNNNNNNNNNNNNNNNNNNNNNNNNNNNNNNNNNNNNNNNNNNNNNNNNNNNNNNNNNNNNNNNNNNNNNNNNNNNNNNNNNNNNNNNNNNNNNNNNNNNNNNNNNNNNNNNNNNNNNNNNNNNNNNNNNNNNNNNNNNNNNNNNNNNNNNNNNNNNNNNNNNNNNNNNNNNNNNNNNNNNNNNNNNNNNNNNNNNNNNNNNNNNNNNNNNNNNNNNNNNNNNNNNNNNNNNNNNNNNNNNNNNNNNNNNNNNNNNNNNNNNNNNNNNNNNNNNNNNNNNNNNNNNNNNNNNNNNNNNNNNNNNNNNNNNNNNNNNNNNNNNNNNNNNNNNNNNNNNNNNNNNNNNNNNNNNNNNNNNNNNNNNNNNNNNNNNNNNNNNNNNNNNNNNNNNGGUGUACUGGGUGAUCAGGCCAUUACACCAAUUUCCAACUGAUCCUCUACUUCAAAAUUUUAUAGAGGGGAUUUAGCAAACUCAAAAUAUUUCGUUUAUAAAUGUCAGUUACCCAGACCUAUUUUAAUUUCCUAUUAUUUAUGUACCUUUAGUUCUCAUCCUAAGUUUGAUACAGAUUUCCUUCCAUCCUCGUGCACGAUGCGUCCAUCGGCACUAAAAUGGAAUUCAAUCCAGACUACAGCUCCUUUGUUGGUUACGGCCGAUCCCAACAGAGGAGUUCUCUAUUUAAAUUCCUAUGUUCCGCAAUUGAUUCCUAAGUCCCAACUUACGCUCUGAUACCAACUUUGUCACGACCCAUUUUAUUUCAUCGAAAUUUCUGAACGUUCUGUUUUUGGGCUUGGGCUCAAUUCAAAUUUGGGCUCAAGUUAGAAAUGCUCGGUCUUCACGACCCAUACUAUAAAAAAAAUUCGGAUUUUUGAUUUAAUAAAAAAUUCUAAAGUUUUGAAAAUAAAAAUUCGGGAUAUUACAAUAUAGAUUAAGGAUUACAGCAACCAUAAUUAAUUACAACCUACUAGGUAUAAUAUCUAAUAAAAAAAUAUUAAACUUAAUACUUUGUAUAAUAUUUUGUUAUUACACUUACUAUAAUAUUGAAAUAUAAUUAUAGCCUUAUAAUUAAUUAAUAAUUAAUAACUAAUAAUAACAAUAAUAAUAAUAACAACUUUAGGAAUAAUAAUAACUUUAAUAAUAAUAAUAACAAAAAUAACUAUUUUACCGUCAAAACGACGUAAUUUUGGUGUAGGAGGUUUAAUUGAAUCCACAACCAACACAACGUCGUUUUAGCCUAGGGUUGGAUUUUAAUCAUACAAACAGAAAGUUCUCUCAAACUCAAGUUAAACGUAUUCUCCUCCCUCCUCCCUUCCCUGCGCCGCUCGUUUUCUUCACUUCUACAGCCACUGUCUUACUUGAAGACCUUCCCGUUGCUUUCGUUCUUGGCCAUCGCCUCCGCAGCAGAUGUGCUCUUCAAGUGUACAAGUGCUCUUCAGCCGCAGGUUCGUUCUUGAUUUUUUUUUUAUUUCAUUCUCAUUUUUUAUUUUCGUUUUGCAUCGUUCCUUUUUUUUUUCUAUUUUAUUUUUGUAAACACGUAUAAAAAGACAGAAAGGAGGAAUUGUUGAAUUAAUUUAUGGGUUCAGCUUUUUGUACAAAAUGUAAAAUCUCUACAUGCAAAAAAUAAAAUGUAUUUCUGCAACAAUUCCAUUUGUUUGAUAUGAUGAUAAUUUGCUUUUACUCUUAAUUCGUUGAUGUCUUGAGAAUGCUAUGAUUGUACCAAUUUAUGAAUGGCCAUUAUACAAGGGAAUUUAGAUUUGCGGAAUUGUAAUAGUUGGUGAUUAAACGGGUAUUUAAACGGAUUCGGCUAGUACGCGGGGUAUUUCUAAACGGAUUUGGGACGGGUUUGGGUAUUAUUGGUUUGUUUCUUAACGGAUUCGGGUGCUUACAUUAUUAACGGAUUCGAAUUCGGAUAGUUUAUUUUUUGCGGGUACCCGCCCCGCUGCCAACCAAGUUGACACUGACGCAACCUUUGAACCGCCUUUAAGAGUCCAUUAAUCUUGCGUCUGCUUCGCUGCGCACGCCUUAAACUGUAUUUUCGUUGCUCGCAUACAGUCAUUAACCACCACGAUUCUGUCAGUCACCAGCUCGACUAUUAACACCGGAGGUGGCAUUCGCUUUUUCAGCAUAACUUAGUCGAUCCCAAUUUUUUGUCUGCGUAAGUGUUAAUUGAUCUUUCUUUGUGUGUUACGGUUUUAGGGUUUUGUUUAAAGCUUCCUCUAUUAAUUCAUUUUGGGUUAUUUUUGUUGUUUCUUGAAUUUUCUAUCACAUAAAGAGUUCAAAUUCUCUCUCUCUCUCUCUCUCUCUCAUGCAAUUUCAAGAUUUUGGCAUGAGAUGCUUUCAAGAUUAUUUUUUUCAUUUGGAGUCUUGUUUCUAGGAAUUCUGUUGAUUUUCCAUAUAUUUUGAUGAAACUGAGCAAGAUAUGCUGUAGGUUUCUAUUGUUCAUUUAUGCUUUAGCUUGCUUGUCUAGGGAACUUUCUUUUUUCGUUUUUGUGUGCAUUUAUAUUUCUAAGGAUUAGCUGGCUCUGAAGUCAAGUGUAGCUGCCCUUUCCUCAUCUAUGGACGGAGAUGGGUAGAUUGAGCUUGUGCUAUCAAGCCGACAAUUAACUGCUCUUUAGUUAUUUUGUUUAUCAUGGCAUCCAUUUUUUGUCAUUGAAGAAAGGAAAAUGUUAACCGUGCAACUUUAUGAGUCAAAUGAUUUUAUGUUCUUUCAGUGAACAAAUCAUGAGAAGAGAACAUUUUGAAGUUUGAAUUUUAUGUUCCUUGCUAUAAAGAUGACUACAUUUAAUUCAGUUUAUUGGAUACUCCCUUUGUCACAAAAUAUAUGUUGUUUAAGGUUAUUGCAGAAAGAUUGAGGAAGCAAUUAGUUCUCCUAUAUUAUAACAAAUUCAAGGGUAAUUUGCCCAAAUUAUCCUUUAUCUCAAAACCAAUAGUUACUUUUGAAAGUAUUUAUUGUAACUAAUCUAAACAAGGCUAACAUCGGAAAAACAUCAUUUAUUAUUUUUUUAAAAAUACUCAAAACGACUUAUAUUUUGGGACAACAUAAUCACUCAAAAAUGACUUAUAUUUUGGAGUAAAGGGAGUAAUUGAAAUAAAGGUGAACUCAUCUAGACUAAUGCUUAGUUUCAAAAUAGUUUGAAUCAGCUAUGUGAAUGGUUUUUUCCCCAUUUUUCUUGGACUGCAUCCUACAAGUUAUACUAUGUCUCCAAUUUCAGGGGCAAAACUAGGUUAUAGGGUGGGGUGGCUGUGGUCCCACUAAGAUUUUUUCUAAUUAUAGUUUUAUAUUUUAAUAACCCCCCCCCCCCCCCAAAAAAAAAAAAAAAAAAAAAAAAAAAAAAUCCUCCCCGAUAAAACAUGUUUUAUUUUAGUUUAAGUUACUACAUUAUCUUGGUUAGCUUUCUUCAUAUUGUCUGACCUCUGUCUUAAAAAUUAAAGAUUAGCUUCCCAUUGUGCAGAAAUUAAUGAUCCCUCCAAGUUUUGUUUUGGUUUUCAGUUGCAUUUUCCUAUCUUCCAAUUGAUUUUCACUUGUAUCCUUUCCACCAUCCCACACACGGCCACCCCCCCCCAAAAGAAAAAAAAAAAAAAAAAAAAAAGAUGUGAAGUUCUAGUUAUUACCUUGUUUAGUUGCUUUGCCAUGGAAAUCUCAAUAACUAAACUUUUUACUAAGAGAUUAUUUUGUUGCAGAUGAAUGUAUAAUAAUCUUGGAGCAAAUUAAUAUGGGGCCUGAUUUGGAGAAAUCAAAAGCUUUGGCUAGUAAAGACAAUGGAGGCGUAUCCCAAGUUCAAGAAGAUAAGUUUGCGAAAUGUAUAAGUAAUUAUGAGGACAAUAAUUUCCAUGAGGAAGCUUUAAAUUAUGACCAAGCUAAACUAAGCGAGGAUAUGGAUAUUAAUAUAAUUGAGUGUACAAAAUCUGGUGACAAUGGACAAAUUGAAGCUCGAUGUGAGGAUGCAACUGAGAGUAUGAGUUCUUUUGGUGACACAUUAUCUGAGACUGAGAAUCUUGCAGUGUUAGGUGAUGCUGAAGUUGAAUCACAGUGCUGUCUCUGUGAUGCAGCAGCAUCGGUAUUUGAUGGAGGAGCAUUUCAAAUGAGGUACUUACUGUUUGAUUCAAUUGGUUCAUUACAUUUUAAUGCUCAUGUGUAGGUAACUUUCUGAUGAAAGAUAAAGAUAUGUGAUAUCAUGGCCCUCUAUUUUGGUGUAUAGUAUUGUGAGUCAUUGUCAACUAACUUUUCUUGGUGAAAUGACUUGUUUGUUGUGUAGCUGGAGGAAGUAUAGUCAUCCAUAAUUAAAAGAAAGUUUUACUACCUUCUUUUGUAGAAAUAUUAACGAUGAUCUUUUUGAUGAUGAAUUUGGGAUGUAUUUGAGCAUAUUUAAGUUGGGGUUUCUCUUCAAAUUUUUCUCUAUUCUCCACAGUAAUAUUAGCGCAUCAUUGUUUUUACUUUGUUUUGGAUUAUAAGCUGCAUCAUUGGUAAGUGAGAUCAAGGGUGGAGAGGGAGCAUCUCGGUUUUGCCUAUAGUAACUUAUCUUUAAAUGUUAACUCAGUUUAUCCUUAAUACAUGAUGCUCAGUUCAGUUGUGAGUAUAAUAUGGGCAAAUUAUCUUAAGAAUCAUUAAAUCCAAUAACUAAAUUAAUGUGAUUACAUGGAUUGCCUCCACCUCUUGUUAAAGAAGCACAAGAAUUGAAAAGAUUAACUAGCCAUUGUAAGUGUUCUGGAACAUUUGUCUUUGACUAAGGUUUUUAGUUUGAAACCUGCAUGGCGGAGGAUUUUAACCAUCACUGACAUUCAGAAAAGGGAACAAAACCAUGGAACAAUGAGACUAAACGAAAACGCUGUCAAAUCCACUCGUUGCCUUUUACUAAAACACUUUGGGUUACGCAAUUAUGGAGGUUGGCUUGCUGCUAAAGUCCCAACUUGUGAUUGGUCACAGGUCUCUUGAUAGUUGACUUCCUUCCCUUGUGGGCUAUUUUGAAUUAACCAUAAAAUUUGCUCGUGACAACGAGCUUAUUGGAGAGAACUUCUGAUCUCCUAAAACCAAACUUUUAAGUUUAAUCUUUGCGCCUUUUGUUCACGCCCAUGUUCUUUAAAUAUCAUGGCAGUGGACAGAACCAACUAUAAACUAGUAAACUAGAAAACUGAAAAUAACAACCUAUAAGGAAGCUAGAAAUAACUGCCAAUUAUGUAGAAAAACUACACUACAGCCACAAACUGAUUUAGCUACUUAAUCCAAGCUUUCAGCUGCUGCUGCUAAGUUUUCAUUACCAUGGGUAUAAUGCCUAUAAACAUAUCCAAACAAGAUAAUUUUAAUACUCCUUGAACCAGUGUCCUCAGUUUGCUGUGUUGAUUCCAGGUUCUUAACACUUCCUCUGUUCUCCGUCAUGAGAAUUUCUUUGGUAGUUGCUCCAAGUUUGUUGGCAUGGAAGGUUAUACACUACUAUUUUCGCAAGAAUUCAGUAGUUUCAAUCCCUCUUUUUUGAAGGGAUUUAAUAGGAGAGCCUUUAGGCGCGGAUCUUUCUCUAUGCUUAAAGACAUCUUGAUUAGUACCUUUUACUUCAGUGUGCAGUACUAUAGAUAGGCAAACUGCUCUUGACUUCUUAAUCAUGUAACUUAAUAUUGACUUUAUUUUUGUUAUUGGGGUAUGCUUCCUCUUGGACCCAUCAAUGCUAUUUACCACAAUCUUUUGUGUUUCAAACAUGUGUGCUGCACCUAGACUAAGUUAUUGGUUAAUCUUUGAGUAGCGCUGUUACACCAUCAGGGAUGAUUUUUGUACAAUGAUCUAGGUCUUAGAUUCCUUGUGGAGUGAUGGAAAAUUGCCCUGCGCAUAAAGGCAGCAUUGACCUUUCCUUGGAAAGUCUUAAUGGGAUUGCACAUGUAGCUCUAUUACAGAUAAGCUGAAAGAUCUAUGUCCACCUUGUUGUCGGGCAAUCCUUUAGGGGGAUUGCCGCUAAAAAUUCUCUCAUGUCUUAACACCACUUCUGUUUCUAAUUUUCAAUAUACUGAAGGAGAAUUGAUUAUGAUAAUAAAAUAUCCAAUGAUUCCAUCUCAGAAAAAGUGUAAAUACCAAUUUGAUCCUUUAAGUGGACUGAUGUGGUUCUCUCUUUCUGGUAGAGAAAGCAUUAAUUGUGCUCCUCUCUAUUGACUUCCUCCUUAUUUUACAUGUUUGAAUUUCCAUGGUUAUACAAAGGAAAAUUAGCUUUUGGAGUCAAUUUCUAAUUUUAUCAUUUCAUUGAAUAUUCAUGCUUUGUUCAACUAUGGAAUAUUCAGUCCCUUGUUUAAUUUAUUUUCUCCAAUUGUUCAGGAGGAAAAAGUUGACAGACCAUUGGAGGAGAUUUAUACGUCCUCUUAUGUGGCGAUGCAAGUGGAUAGAAUUGCAAAUUAAAGAAUUUCAGUCCCAGGCGCUUAAGUAUGACAGAGAACUUGCAGAACAUGAACAGAGAAAGCAGUUUGAUUAUGGUACGUUUUUAAUAGAAGGAAUUGAUGCAAAGUCAACACCAUUUUCAAGUUGUACUAAAAGGAACAAAGUCAUGAAAAGAAAGAAAAGAAAAAGAAUUGAGGAGGCAACUGACAUAUCAUCAUAUAUGCUACAACAUAACCUCUUUUCCUAUUAUGGUAAGCAUUCCGAUUUGCCUAUUACCUGUAGCAUUUGCAUCCCGAUGACAAGCAUUUUCCUAGGAGAGUAAUGUCUUUUCAUAUUCCCUUUUCUUAUUCUUUUCCCCUUUUCUUUCUUGACCAGAAACUAGGAAGUCUUCUGCCAAUGGUGCUUCUAUGAAUGACAAUUGCAGCAAUAAUCCAGGUAAGGAGUUAAAAUUUGUUUUGACUUCGUUUUUUAACUGAAAUUUUUAAAUGAUAAAACUGAGUAAUCUAGAAAUGCCUUAUAUACUGUGUUUAGCAUCUGUUCAUGGAUUUGAUGCUUCCAUAUGCUAGUCUUUGAUACAUUUCCUUUUGAGCCUCAACUUGAUUGAAGUAGUUAGUCUAAUAAAGGACUAGAGACAAUCACACGUUAGCAAAUGUGUGCAUGUAUUCUAACAUGUUUCUAUAUGAUGACAACAACAUAUAGCUCUGUGUGAUAGAGAGCGCACUUCUGAUUACUUGAUUGUGAGACGACGUGCAUCAAAAUUUACCUUGUUUUCUUGAUGUUGAUUGUAGAAUUUAUUGUUUUGUCUUCCCUUUUAAACAACUUCUUCCAGUUUCUCUUUCAAGUUUCUACAUAUUUGUACUUCUGAUGUUUUUUGUUUCCUGCAAUGGUAAAGUAUACCUCAUUAUUAUUCAAAUCGAGACUAAGUAGAAGAUUAUAAGCAAAAUUGAUAUUAUGCUGUCAGAAUUUAGAGUUGGGUUUAUUGGCAUAAAGAUCUUAAAUAUUAUUCCAAAAAAGAUGGUGCCAUGAAAAAUAGAAUUGAUAUAAUGAUUGGUCAAGUGCUUACAUUCAUCUUGAACUUUCUUAUUUCAAUCUUGUGGGACCUCAAGUUUGAUAAAGAUCUAUUAUACACUUGAACUUAUGAAUUUUGGACUUUGCACACCUUCCUGCACAAAUAAUAACAUCUUUUAGAGUUUUUGGCUUUUAUGUGCAAAACAUGAUUUGAUGUAUGAUGAGCACUACUUCUGAACAAUAAUUUUUUCAUUUUUCAACGAUCUAAUAAGUAUUUAACUAAUCUAAUUUUCUAAGUUGACGUGUUCAAUAAAAUGAUGUUGCGAACUAAAGUGUUUAACAAAUGUAAUUUCAUAAGUUGAAGUAUUCGAUGGUUCCAAGAAAAAAUUGAGAGUUCUAUAAGGUUAAAACAAUAAAGUGCAGAGGUAAAUUUAUGUAUUCAGCCUAUAAUGAAUGGAUGUUAUCUAGAUCAGAAACUGCAUGCUGCACACACAUCGGGAAACUUUUUUUUUUUUUUUUAAAUUAUAUAUUCUCUAUUGACUAUUAUUGCUAAAAUUCAGUUUAUCAUGUGCCUAACUUUUCUUAUCUGGGUCUUUUUCAGAUAAGGCAAUCAAUGUUAAUGAUGAGUUUGGCUUUCAAGAUGGAUGGGCAUCUCUUGAGACCAAAGGAAUUGAUAAUAUCUGUGAAAAUAUUCUUUUGAAAAUUGAAGCAUUACAAUUGCUAGUUCGCAAGUUGAAGGUCCGGAUUGAGAAGGUGGUGAGUGAAAAUCCUGGGAAGUUUGCUUCUGUUAAUAGGCUGAUCAUGCCUGUAUCUUGUGAUGCAUUGACCAGUUCUGAUCAAAAUCCUGCUUCCCCUCUUGAAAAUGAUGAUAGAAUGCCUGUUAGAUCUCUAUACACCAUCUCACAGUUUCUCCCUGAAAGUGCUGUUUCAAGUCACGGAGAGGUCACCACUCAUCCUGAUAUGAUUGAAAGCACAGAUCAGCCUGUGGUUGGGGUUUCAUGUGAAGAUGUAAGUUUCAUCUCUCUCUCUCUCUAUCCCCAACCCCCCCCCCCCCCCUUUCAAAAAAAAAAAAAAAAAAAAACCAAUCCAUUCUGCCGUCCUUUCGUGCUAGAUAAACAGUGUUGUUAAGUGUAUACUGGGCAAUGCUUCUUUCAUUCCCUGGCAUAUUUUUGGUGUAUACAGCACUUACAACGGGAGGUGCUGAAGGCUUAAAAUACUCGCCUUUACUUGUCUAUUUCUGUUAAGGAUUAGUUGUAAAUAGAGUUCUAUUAGGAGUUAGAUUCCUAAUUAGUUUAUGAUUUGUAUUCCUAAAUAGCUAGCGUAGGAAUUCCUUAUAUAUAGACCUAUGUAAUCGAUUGAUGAGAUACAAGAAAUACAAUUACAAUAUAUUCUCUCAACAUGGUAUUAGAGCCUUCCAUUAAAAAAAAAAAAAAAAAAAUCCCCAAAACCCCCUUAUNNNNNNNNNNNNNNNNNNNNNNNNNNNNNNNNNNNNNNNNNNNNNNNNNNNNNNNNNNNNNNNNNNNNNNNNNNNNNNNNNNNNNNNNNNNNNNNNNNNNNNNNNNNNNNNNNNNNNNNNNNNNNNNNNNNNNNNNNNNNNNNNNNNNNNNNNNNNNNNNNNNNNNNNNNNNNNNNNNNNNNNNNNNNNNNNNNNNNNNNNNNNNNNNNNNNNNNNNNNNNNNNNNNNNNNNNNNNNNNNNNNNNNNNNNNNNNNNNNNNNNNNNNNNNNNNNNNNNNNNNNNNNNNNNNNNNNNNNNNNNNNNNNNNNNNNNNNNNNNNNNNNNNNNNNNNNNNNNNNNNNNNNNNNNNNNNNNNNNNNNNNNNNNNNNNNNNNNNNNNNNNNNNNNNNNNNNNNNNNNNNNNNNNNNNNNNNNNNNNNNNNNNNNNNNNNNNNNNNNNNNNNNNNNNNNNNNNNNNNNNNNNNNNNNNNNNNNNNNNNNNNNNNNNNNNNNNNNNNNNNNNNNNNNNNNNNNNNNNNNNNNNNNNNNNNNNNNNNNNNNNNNNNNNNNNNNNNNNNNNNNNNNNNNNNNNNNNNNNNNNNNNNNNNNNNNNNNNNNNNNNNNNNNNNNNNNNNNNNNNNNNNNNNNNNNNNNNNNNNNNNNNNNNNNNNNNNNNNNNNNNNNNNNNNNNNNNNUUGUCCUAAUUCUGCUGCUACUAUUUGGUUUGGGAUUCUAUAUUGCUAUAAUGAAGUGGGUACAGUUGCUGAGUAUGGUAUUGUGCUUUGCUGAAAGUAAUAGUUUGUAACAAGUUGAGCAUGAUUAUCAUCUAUGCUCCAACUUGAGGGGGAGUGUUAAGGAUUAGUUGUAAAUAGAGUUCUAUUAGGAGUUAGAUUCCUAAUUAGUUUAUGAUUUGUAUUCCUAAAUAGCUAGGUAACAUAGGAAUUCCUUAUAUAUAGACCUAUGUAAUCGAUUGAUGAGAUACAAGAAAUACAAUUACAAUAUAUUCUCUCAACAAGUUCAUUUGUUAUCAUUUGUCUCAGUCUGAUCAUGGUUCUAAAUGCUUCUUGAUAACAUCUCUUAGCCAGCUACAUGGAUUCUCUUCAAGUCAGUACAAUGUACCUUUUCGUUGUCUCACUAUUUGUACUGCUUUAUACUGGCAGCUUUGGCAAAAAUUUUCAACUCCAUGUAUUGUUGGGCUUGCUUUAUGUAAUGCAAAUAAAGGGUUGAUGGAGAGGUCUUGCUUGGGUAAGAAUAAUUGAAUGUGAGAGCUCUAAGACGUCCCAGGUUUGAUAUAUGAGAGAGUAAUAAUUACUGUCGAGUUGAGCUAUAGUUGGUAUACUAUUAGGAGCAAUCUUGUACAAUGGGUGCAUCAAAAAGCUUAAGCUAUGCUUAGCUGAUGCUUGUUAUUUAGGUGACUGUUUUGGCAACAAUUGGCCUCAAUUAAUAUCAUGUAGUGAUAGUGCCCCAUCCCAAAUAUACAUGUUAGCUAAUACUAGAAAUUGCUAUUUGUAAUAGAAACUCUGUGCUGAUAUAUGGGAAUGAGCCAGUGCUAUAUAUCUCAGUUGUCUAGAAAAACCAGAACAUUUAUUAUUGUGGUAUUGAGAACUUGGUGCUGACUUGCUUCCAGUUUGUGUGAUCAUAUAUCGUUCUUGUCCUUGUCCUUGUCCUGUCAGCUAGUGAGUUGAAAAUUUUCACAUUCGUACUGUGCCAACUCCAUAAAAAUUUUCUAUCAAGAUAUUUUCUUGGUUCAUAAGAUUUCAGUGGUAUGAUUGUUGCCGCUACUCAUAUUGGCAAUUAUAGCUUUGGUCGUGGGAGUCACAGAUUAUAUUCAUUUUCACGGGACAAUUUCUGUGUAGAAUUUGGAAUUGAUUAAUGUUUUGAUGUUUUGUGGACCAGCAUGUUUUUCUUCUUUUUAAAUUGUAUUGCCACCCAUCUAUUACGAGAGUUAUUUAUAACUGAUGUGUCCUUCAUUUCUGCAGACUAAAGAAGGAAUUCUAAUAAAUAAUCAGGCAGCAAAGGAAGAGAUGCAAGACUUGAAUAUGUUCAGAAACGAGGUCACAGAGAAGCAUCAGGUAGAGACAGAAGAGCAGACAUCAUGCGUUCCUGAAGCUACUAACAUAUCCACAGGUACAACUGUGCCUCGUGUAAAUUUUGGUGGAAAAACACUUCCAAAAUCCAGGAGCAAUCUUUCCAAUGACAAGAAGAAGACGGGGAGGAGAAAAUCUGGCAGAGGUGGCCGGAACCGUAAAUCCUGAGCUUAGCUGGAUAAGUGAUUUAGAUGUCUCGAGUACAUAAAAGACUGAAACUUCUUCAAAAGUUGUUGGAAGUAACACUUUUGCAAGAUGAUAAUUGUAAAUGCUGAUGCAUUUUCUGAUGUGUAUCUUCCCGCUGCCCAUCUGCUGCUUACAUAUUUGUACAUGCUCCAUAUUCAUUAGGUCUCUUAUCUAUGCUGUAGAGCAUUGGAUGCUUUGUUUAGAGAUGUGCUAUUAUUUUAAUACAAUUAUAAUUUUGUUUGUGGAAAUAUUUUUUAGAUUAGUGAGAAUUUGCAGAAUGUGUACACUGGAGAAGCACAGUUGUUAGGUCCCUCCUUGAAGCUAACAGCUCGAUCCGAGCCAGGAAUUGAAUUGGAUAGUGAAAACUGCUAGAUUCAUAUGAUAUCAUGGAUUUCUUUCUUACAUUGACCAUAUGCGUUUCGUCUCUCUCCUUUCUCCUUUGUGUAGCAUAAUGACUCGUCUCUUUUACUGUUCAAAUCUGCAAAAUGGGGAUGUUUUUUGAGUCUCAUGGGAGAAGUUAUGUGAUUGUAUAUUUGUCACAGGACUUAAUAUUUUCCCUUAUCUCUUCAAUUUGACACUACAGGAAUGCUUGUUAAUAUUUCAAUGUUUGACUGUUUUAGGUUUUCCUUCAACGCAUUCCACAAGUUUUUGUGAUAAUAACACUGUACAAGCAAUUCUUAGAUAAAGAUUCGCUUAUUAGUCUGAUGGAUUGGAUUGAUAUGUUUGAUACUGCAAAAAGAAAAAGUCAAAUAAAUCAAAUAUACAAAUUAAGAAGUUUUUAUAACAUUCGCCAAACACAAGUAGCAAUGAUGUCCUGUGUCCGUAUCAGAAUGCAGAUGCAAUCCCAGAUUCCUGAAGAGGUUGAGCAAGAAGUCUGUUCAGGAGCGCAAACACUCCUAGGAAAUGCGAAAAUAGUGAAAUAUGUUUGCUGUGAGAGAUCUAUCGAUCCAGUCAAAAGAAGUAAACUUUCCAUCUUAUGUUAAGGACUUCUUUUCAUUUUUCCCAUUUUUAGCAUCUAAAAUUAACCAUUUCCAACCCUUCAAUUGAGGUGGAGAAUCUUUAUACCAACCGAUAAAAGAUCAAGUACAGGAACAAGGUGGAUUAGCGGUCAGUCGCCAAGCCAGUUCAAGAAAGCCAAGUAAAAAAAAAAAUAUUUCCAGGUCUAUCUCAGCUCGUUCAUCAUCAUCCAUGAUCGAUUUCAAGAGCAAACCAUCUUCAGAACACCGUCUUCAUUUCUGGUGUUUCUGUUCAUGCCUCGUAGACUUGGUCUUUAACACUAAUUUCUCUCUGUAGGGUACGGUUGAAGAAAUGCUUCAUCUUUUUGCGGAUUUCGAAUCUGAACUUACUCAUCUACUCUAGAAAUUCAAGCUGCAUUGCAAAAUGUGACUGAUGCCCUUUAAACUGGACCAUUUUCCAAGAUCCUGAACAGAACAAGAAACUCAAGAGAGCCUUGCACCUCGUUUCCACUUACAGGUCUGAAGACGGUUUAGCCACUGGUCAAAUGGCUGCUAUUUCUAACUUUAGGCAGGAGAUUGAUAAACUUGUAGCAAAGUUCAGAAAUUGCAAUGAGGAAACAGUCUGAGAAAGACUUUCAGGAAACAUAUCUCUUGCUUAAGGAGCUGAAAGUAUGUUAGACCAAAUUAGUGGAUUUUAACCUCACAUACUUCUUAAUUUAGAACCUGUAUGAUAAGUAAAUAAGUUUUGUGGAACUAAAUCGAUGGUGUUCGGUCAUGGUAUCCAUAGCGUUGCUUCUUUUUCGGCGCAGACCCGACGCGACUGACAGAUAAGCCGACGUUAAUAGCAGGUCUAAUUCCCCCCCUUUUUUCGUCUAAGUAAGGUGAAUUGGCUUCCUGCUUGACCCGAACCGAAGCAAGUCCUUCUUUCAUUUCUUCGGUGAUUGGCUCUCGUAGCGCUUAGUGUAGUAAGGGCCACUGGCUGUUCUUUCUACGUAAACUUGCUUUUUGGCUUCUUUCAUCAAAGAUAGGUAUGAGCUAAAGGCUUUUUUUUCUCACUAAACCCAUUUCUGAUCUUCUAUUGAAACUUUAUAUUUUCAUUUUCAUUUUCUUUUUAGGAAUUCAAUUCAUGUAUGUUAACUAAAUAAAAUUCUGCCAUUAAUGAAUUCUGUAUUUCAAAUGUCAAAUUCACAUCAUAACAAAAAAAAAAAAGAAAAGAAAAAGGGGACACAGAAAAUAGAAUGGAAAAUAAGAUGAGAUUUCAUUUCCACUCCCUCUUUAUUUUAAUUAUUAACCUUCUAAUUUUUGUUUCAAAAGGAAUCCAAGGCAAGGCAGCAAGCUUAAAGGACUUUAGCUCCAAUGUGAAGCUAACAAGUUGUUCCAAGGUAGGAAUAUCCUUUCAUUUCGAAAAUUGUUAGAUUGAAUAUAAAUCAAGGAUUCCUUUCUUUCAUCUAAGAAAAAACAAAAUCCACUCUCUAUUUCUUUGCAUAUUUCUCCAAUUUUACCCUUCCAUUAUAUAUGUAACCAUUUUGCGAUUCAAUCUACUUGAAUUUUUCAAAUUUACAAAAUGGGGAUGUCCAUGAGUUUCAUGGGAAAAGGUUUUGUGAUCUUCUUGCAAAUUUUUCAUUUUCACAUAGUAAUCUUUUUUGUUUUCCCUUGCAUAUUAAUGGUUUUCUUAAUUCUUGCAUUUGAUUAAAAUUAUUACAUAACAAAUACAAUAAAGAAUUUUUUUUUUUUUUUUUUUUUUUUUUGUAGGGUUGCCUUCAAACCAGAUGGUAGGUUUUGUUAUGGGGACUCUCUACAAGCAAUUUGUGGACCAAGAUAUUAAGAACGUUGAGGAAUUCCACAUGGCUAUUCUUGAUAUCUUCAAGUAAGAUUAUAAAGAAAUUAUUAUUAUUAUUAUUAUUCUUGAUAUCUUCAAAUGAGAGGGUCGGAAUCAAGCCUGGACCUAUAUCAUCACCGUUAAGGUUCCUUACCACCAAAAUCAACAUGAGUUACAAAAAUUAUCUUUUUUUAGGUUGUGAUUAGACCUAAUAAAUAUACAUUAAUUUUUUCAUUCUUGAAAUUUUAUUGCUGUUUAAUUGUUUACAGCGCAUUCAACUCAGCAUUGCCUGGUAAACAUUAUGAUGCACCCUCAAGAAAAGAGAUAGAGGCCAGUGACAUUAACCUUACAAUAUUCUAAUUAAUUAAAUCCCAUUAUCUCAAAUAAAUUUAUAUAAUUAUGUACAAAAAAAUGUUCAAUAUUGCAGGCAUGUUUUAGUUUUUGGAAACAUGCUUCAGAUGCACAAAGAAAAGAACUCUUCAUUGAAUUGAUGAAGAAGAGCGUAAAACUUAGCAAGAUAGAUGACUCCGCCUUGGUCACCGGAGUAGUAACACCACCGGCAGCAAUGGCUGCCAAGAAAGCGGCGGAGAAUUUGCCUCAGUUAAAGAUAUUAAAGGCUGUGCCAGAUGUUGUCUUUGUGCCUGCAGCAACAGUAUUAGCUCUUAUCUCUGCUAAGCUUACAAAAAGGACGUUCUUUGGAAGUUCAGCGUCUCCUUAAUUCUAAAAUAAAUUGUAGUAUGAAUUAUCUUGUAAUAACUAAAUAAAAUAUUAAAAUUUCAAGCUCUUUAUAAUUGCAUUUAAUGUUUUUAAUUUUAUCAAUUAAACGUAUAAUUUUUUUUAUCAUUAAUUUUGCCUCAUUCAUUUUACACAUUGAAAGAUCGAUUUUUGAAGAGAACACAAGAAGAUAUGAGAUAGUACACACCCAUUAUAAAAAUAGACUUUUUUUUUUUUUUUGGUAACGAUUGGAGAGCAAAACUCUAAGUAAACAUUGAAAGUCCAGUAUAAAAAACCUCUUGAAGAAGCCAUUCUGCCAUCCCAGGAGGCGGUUCAUGAGAAGUUGACUCCCUGAUGGAUAAUUUCUUGCGCAUCUAGAAAAGUAAUCCGCGCAAUUGUUCAUUUCUCUGUAAAUAUGUUUGAUCACACAACUUUGAAAUUGUGGGAUCAACUGCUGAAUAGCAAGCACCAGUUUCUGAAUUGCUCUUGAAGAAGAACCAUUGCUUGAAAUGAGUUGGACAGCAGCCAAAUUAUCACAUUCAACUUGGAUAUUUUUCAUCCCUAAACUCUUGGCCAGCUGCAAACCUUCCAGAACUGCCAACAACUGAGCAUUGAAAACCGUACAAGAACCUAUGUUAGAAACAAAGCCUCUGAACCACCUCCCAGCAAUAUCUCGAAUUAAACCUCCACCACAUGCUGAUUGUCCAGUAACAGAAGUGUUAGUAUUGAGAUUGACGCAGUUGCUAGGGGGAGGAGACUAUGUGAGUGAAAUUAAUUCUUUAUUGCACGAAGGAAUCUCGACUUUUUCACGUACAAACUAGUUUCGAAAAUAUUCUUAGCCAAGCAGAACGCCUCCAUUUUCAACCUCUGUAUCGUCACAUGUUCUUCACGAAAGUACCAUCUAUUGCGUGGAUCCCAGAUUUUCCAGCAGCACACUCCGAAAAUAAUAGGUCAAGGGACACUAGAAUGAUGCGUACAGUUGCCGGAAAGAUUAUACAAGAGCCAAUUUUAAUGCAAUAUGUUAACUCAUAUUUCUCACACACGCAUAAACUCCACGUGUGAUUUGGGAUAUGGAAUACCCAACGUUUCUUAAAAUCGAAUUAAAUUAAAUAAAUAAUUAAAUAAAUAAUAUACAUUACCAAAUAUAUCUUAAUUCUACAGCUGAUACAUAAAUACAUUACAGCUUUAAUUUUAUGGCAUUUUAAAUUUUGAUGAGGACCAUUUAUGCUCUUAUUUCUUAUAAAUUUUUGCAAAUCACAUACUUUUCCAUAUCAUCGACAAUUAUCUAUAGGGAUAUUAUUUGAAAUAUUAAUUUGAUUUAUGAUUAGGAUAACUUUAGAAAUAAUGAUUUUUACAUCUUUUAAUUAUAUUUAAUAGAUGUCCGAUCAAUUUAAAUUUAAGUGUUAGUACAUUCAAUAGAAUGAUUUGCAAAUUUUUUAAUCUUGUUGAAGUUUUUAAUAAAUCAAAAUAAAGCUAAAGGUUCCUUUAGACACUUAAAAAAAAAAAAAAAAAAAAAAGUUAAAGCGUCAAUUUAUGCGUUUGGCCUAAUUCUGCAGGUUACUGUUUUUUUACUUUAUUUUAUUAUUAUUAUUAUUAUUUUUUUUUUUUUUUUUUUUUUUUUUUGAAAUGAGAUUUGUGCUUAAAAGGUGCAUAUUUUUUUCAUAUGGUUCAUUAUGAUUAAGUAGAAUAUGCAGGUAUGGUAGUGGCUAAAAGGUAGGUUUUGCGAUUUCAUUUUGCCUCCAUCUCUAUUUCACGUGAAACCAACAAUCUGUGCUAUGUACAGAUUUUCUUUUCUUUUCUUUGCUUUACUCUAUGUCAAGAAAUAUAAUAUAUAGUAUCAACUUUUUUUUUUUUUUUUUUUUAAAAAAUGAAGAUUUUUUAAGAAAUGAAGUAGCAUACAUACAAUUAGAAAUAGGUCAUUCCGCUAUGCAUAUGUCAAUAGUAUAUAUAAGAUAUGUCGGGUAAAAUUAACUGUUUUGUUAGCUGUUAGUUUUUUAAAUAAUGUUGUUUAAAUAAUUUUUCAUAAAACGUUAUAUAAAUUAACUUUUCAUAAAACACUAUCUUAACUUCUAAAAUCUAGUUCAAAGGCUAUAGUACCGAACACUAUAAAAAAUAUUAUUCAAAAUGCUAAAAACUACUUAAAAAGCGGUUGCCCGAACACAGUCAUAGUCUCUUUUAUUAAAUAUUAUUAGUAGCUAUUUUAAUUAGAAAAUACAAGGAAUAAAGAAAAACUCAACUUUAUAUAAACUGAUUAUCAAAACAAAAGAUAGAAUAAAAUGGCAGAUUGAUAUUUACAUAUAUGUUCAACUCAAUUAGUUCCUUAAUUAUGAAUUAAUUGGUAAAUUUUCUUCUUUUCUUUUUUUUUUCAUUUCAUAUUUAUAUGUGUGUUGUAGAUUUAAAUCUUCAAAAAAGAUUUAAAAUUUACAGUUAAACAAUUUUUUGCUAAUUUAAUUCAUUCCCAUGUUCUUUUUUCAUACAAGUUUGAUAUCCUCAACUUUUCCAUGCAUCUCCAAACAAUUCUUACACAAUUUUACUAAACAUGAUAACAAAUACUCUUCAAAUGGAGAGGAAGUCUUUAUCUGCGUAUAAUCAAGAACUAGAAAAGGUAAAACUGAAAUUUAAUAUUAAAAUUCAAAAAGUAGUAACAUAAUUUAGGAGUAGAACAAAAAAUUCAUUUAUUCCAAAAGCAAACGAGAAUUUGUUCAUAUUCAUAAAUGUUUCAAGAAAUAUUAAUCAGUUCAAGGGCACUUGGAUUGACCCUUGGAGUUCUUCUUGUCUCUAUAGCAAGGGCAUUCUGAUUUGUUUCCAUAGGUUCCUGAAGGUACACAUUUGCACUCUUGGCAGCAGAUUCCACAAUACUUCAAGCACCUAUCCUUAUAUCCUGCAUUGCUACACCUUGUCCCACACUUCAAAUCACAAUCACCUAAUAUCACCAAAACAGAAAUAUAAGUACUUAUUUAUUAUUCCAAAAUGGAAAAACCCCAGAAAAAAAAAAUUGAUAUUUGCUUGGCUUAAUUUAAUAAUCUUACUUGGAGCAGCUGUGGUAGGUGGUGGUGCAGCCAUAUAUGGUGGAGCUGAAGCCAUGGCUGUUUGAAGUAAAGAGGAGCAAAGAGCCAGUGAAAGAAUCAGGAAUGAUGCAAGCAAGAGCUUCAUUUUAGUUAUUUUGAUUGAUAUUUUACACUUCAAGAAAUAGUACUAACUAAGGCGAUGAGAAUUAGCUUAGGAAGCUAUGGGCUUGAAAGAAUUCAGAGGAGUAUUUAUAGUGGUGGAUUGAAGGUGGAAGUCAUGUGGAAAUUUGAAGCAAAAGGGUAUUUUAUUAAUAAAAUUAAAAGGCCAAUGAACAAUUUCAUUACAGUCUGUAAUUUAAGGAGGCACUUAUUGGGGAGGGCAUUAUAGAUUUUUGUCUUGAUUAGCUUAUUAUAUUUCUACUCAGGUUUAUGCUAUACAUAGGGAAGUUUGCAAGUACCUUCCUGAGGAAGGAGAUAAUCCUUUUUUAAGGUUAAUUAAUUAGGUUUUGACUAACACUUGUGAAGUUCUGAUGAUUUAUAAAAUUUUAGUACCAACAAUUUGAAAGGGUACAAGCUGUACUGGCUUCUCCGAUGUAGCCCAUUUGCAUAUGUUUAUUGAUCUUUUUUUGCUCUUCCUUUCUGGCUCGCCAGAAUCUCUAUGUAACUUGAAAAAUAAUUUCCAACUUCAAGUUAAAAGGGAACAAAGAAAUGAAAACUGAUAUAGACAGGGAUAGAGAAUCUCAAUUAGUUUGGCGCACAAUUCCAGGCUGUGGCUUCCCCCAACUUGCACUUAUUUAAAUUAUUUCCUUUUUAUAUGUGUGGGAACUAGAGGAGGAAGAGAAUAGACAGGCCCCCGAAGGUUCCAGGAAAUUGGACUCAACCUCCUGAGAUUCCUCUUUAAAUAUUUUGAUGUUCAAAAAAAAAAAAAAAAAAAAAAAAAAAAAAAAAAAAAAAAAAAAAAAAAAUUUUUUUUUUUUUCCCCCGCCGCACAAAGAAAAUAUUUUGUUGCGAAUGAACAAGAUAUUGAGGAAUUGUCCAUAAUUUUACUGUCACCUGAGGAAAAUAAACUUAGAAGCUUAUGAAAAUAAAUUAUAUAGCUACAAGGCAACAAAAUCUAGAAUUCAAUGGCUAAAUGCACAAGAAGUUUCAUUAAUAACAAUGUGAAUUCUUACAGCAGAAUUUUUUAUAUUCAAGCAUGGAACAAUUUAAAUACAUCGGAUUAGUGAUACUGAAGAUGCAAACCUAUAUACGUUUAAACUGCUGAGAGUUGUGGCCGUGAUAAAACAAUAAGGAAGCACGUCUUUGCGAACAGAAAGAACUCAGGCUUUGACAUGUACUAUAAAUUCUUCCCAAUAACUUGCAAAACAAAACAACAUUAAAAUGUCAAUCCACAUAGACACAUGUAUGCCUAUCUAUAUAUGUAAUAUGAUGAAAAAUAAACAAAAAGAUACCAAUGUCAACCUCCCAAACUAGAGGAAGCACGGAUAUGUUGACCAUAAGAAUGUUCUUUGGCAGAGCGACUGGAAGUGAGUAAAUUGACCUGCAGAAGGCCCUCAACAAUUAGAGUUGACAGAAUGACACAAAGGUAGGUAGCAAAGAAAAAUUGGUCAAGAAAGUUACCUUCACGAUGUCACAUUUGGCGCUUGGUCGCCUGGAGGCAGCUAGGACACUCAUGUGAAAUAGCUGUUUUCAAGAACACAAUGAUAAACAAAGCAAUACACGUGAAAAUUUUAUCUAACAAUUAACUUCUACUGUUGUUUGCGGUACUUGCAAUGGAAACUAGUACAAAACUUAAAGAAAGGAUGAACUGGACAUGAAAGCAAAGCAAUGUGAUUUCUGACUCACAGCAGUUAUUAGUUAAUAAAGAAAAGUUAUAUUUUCUUGGUUUGUUGCAUAGGAAAUUACCCUAUAAGGAUCGCUUCUUAAGGACUGCACAAACAGAGAAUUCCCCGAGUCACUAUCCUGCAAUGGAAUAAACACCAGAACUCUUAAACAUGACAAGUCAUAAACAGCAGAAGUGGAUGCAAAUAAAUGCUCCAAAAGGAUAAAACUGAAAUUAAUCAAUAGUCAUGCCUCCAAAUAAACAUCCUUGAGUCGCCUUCCAGUUUGAGCACAGCAGACGCGGACAACAUUUUCAUCACAGCUACCACUUAUGAUGUAAUCCCUCCCAUUCAUGUAAUAGGAGCGAGUAUAAUUAUGAGAACUUCCAGUUGCAGCUAUCUCAAAGUUCAUGUGAACCCUACCAUCUACUGCCAGAAGUUGUUUGACCUGACACAAGUUAAAAGUGGGAUAUUAUCUUGAACUCAGUGAAAGAAGCCAACAAGUUUGUUAUUACUAUGUUAAGGUGGCAUGCUUACAUCCUAAGAGGUAAACAAGGAAUUCUGCUUGAUGAUUAGUAGGGAACAUCUACAGUUAGAUGCGUUAAUGACAUUGGACUAGUGAAAUUAUGCUCAUCUUAUCAAACCCCUUUAUAAGAUUAGGGAGUCUACAUCCACACAAUGAUUUAGAAUUUUUCUUUAUCUAGUACGUUUUAUCCUUGCCCAACUGAAUAUAUACAUACAUAAUGGAUAUGAAAAUACCUCAUUGUCAACAGCUGAAACAAGCAGAUAUUUGUCAUCAGGAGAAAAGCAAACCAUCACAUUCCCUCUUGAACUUGAGGCUGUAUAACAAGGCCUCUCUGGUUUUUGUCUCAAAUCCCAAAGCUUGACAUCAUGGUCAAAUGACGAAGUAGCAAAUAGGAAGGGAGAACAGUGUGCAAAUUUAGCAACAUUAAUGGGUUCUCGAUGCAUAUUAGUAAACAACUGUAUGCGUCUUCUACUACUAAUGUCAUAUAGGGCAACAUCCUUUGAGUACCCACUGGCAAGAAACUGAUCGUCUGUGGAAUUGACAUGAACAGAAGUCAAUGGCUCAAAAUCAUCAAAACUGACCACUCCUGUCAUGCAAUUUAUAUCUGCAACUUUUGGUGGCAUAUGAUUGAUGUCAAACAGCUUCAAGGAACCAUUAUCAGAACCAGCUAGCAACUGUUCAAUGCAUACAAAAAGCCUUCAGCAAAAAUUGAACUUCUAAGAAUCAAAAUGAAGCAAUAAAUUAGAUGUCCUUCCCAUUAUAUAGCAUUUAUGAAUUACUUCCAAAGACAAGUUCUAGCAACAAAUUAUCUAUCCUAUUGAUACAAUUCUAGUAUCUUUUAGGUGUAAGCAUGCAACUGGCUGAUUUCCCUCAUCCAAAGAACAAAUGUAAAAUAUUUCAAGGUUUAAAUUGCUGCGGAAAGUAUACAAGAUACUGCUGUUGGAAAUAUCACCUUGGAAUUCAGGUGUGAUCUUGACCUACAAAGUCAUCGAGUAAAAUAAACCAAAUCCAAAGACAACCGCAAUUUAUUGUUGAACCAUAUUGAACUUACGAUACCAAACACAAGUGCCUUAGAAACAGAUAAAAGAAAAGGGUCGAAAGUGCAAGACAAAAGUAUUACAAGCCUAAAAUGCUUUAUGGAAAUGGCAUACCUUUGAUGGAUACAUUUUGAGCCAACAAAGACCCAGAAUACUGUUCAUUGCUCCACUGGAAGGAACAUAACCAACAGUCUUCCCAUUUUCAUGAUUAGUGACAACUACUUCACCAUCUAGAGUUCCAAAAACCAUAAGACUAGGAUCAGAUGGAUGAUAUUCGAAUUGUCUAGGGCGAAGACGCUUACUUCCUUCUUUAUGCAGAUGGCUCAAGCUAGACAAAGGGUGCAAGAGGGGCCAUGCAACAGAACCCAGCUUGGCAGCACUAAGAGAUCGUGGAAAGAAAAUUUGACUCUUUCCAUGAGGAUAUUGCUUCUUUGUCUUCUGGAAAUUUGGGCAGGCACCACUUGCUCUCAUUUCACGUUUCUGCAGGAUACUGACAAUGCUUUCUUUGUAUUGUCGGUUAUAGGCUAAGUACUCAUAGAAUUUUGAAGAGAUGAUCUUCGCCAUUUUCUUGUCCAGCUUUCCAACGGGCAAAUUAUCUAAAACCUCCAAAUGAGGCAAUGAAGCAAUUAUAUACUCCCUAUAAUGUUUCUCAAAGCAGAUAGGCGAUGGGUGGUGUGAACUGUAAAUGUUGUUUAACUUAGUACAGUUUUUCUUCAAAUCCCACAUGCAUCCACUUGCAAACAACUCAUUUUUGUCUUCAAUCUAUCAUUCGCCAAAAGAAACCUGUUAGACAAACUAAAAAAAUCCAUCACCAAACAUCUAUAUUUCAAACUUUCCCCCUUCUAAGCAUUUAAUAUGCUUACCUCAUUUUGCAACUUGACUUUUCCAUUCAAAUUAGGAAGCAUGCUGGAUGAUAGUUCCAGCAAAUCUAUUCUUUGCAGGCAGCUUGAAAUUUUAUCUUCAGUAGUGACUGAAAAGUUAUCAGUUCCUCCAUUAACCUCAUUACAUGUAAAUGCAUUUUUGGGAGAAAGCAAGUCACAACAUGACAUUGCAUGAGGAGUGUAAAUAGUUGUGUCAGCAGCAUUGACAGGCAGCAGUUCAAUGGAUGAACCUCUAUCCAACUGAUGCAGGACAUUUGCUUUGUUACCAAAUGAUGCAGGACAUGGCCCAGUGUCCUUGCAACACAAGCAAUUUUGGAAUCGUAGUUCUAGCAAAGAAGGAAGUUUCAAUAAGGCAGCAGUGGUUGUCCAGAGAUCAAUCACUCUUGUCUCACACAUUGAGAGACGCAUCAGAUUGGGCAUGGAAGAAAAACAGUCCCUAUGCAAACUAGCGAUUGAAGUGCAAAAAUCCAGAUUUAAGGUGUGCAAUCGCAUAAAACUUCCAACCAUGUUGAGCUUUUGGAUGUGAGUGGACCUCAAGCUUAAAAUUUCACAAGAUAAGCCAUGGUGACUUAGAUCCCUGGAAAGGUCCCACAAACAACGAUGUUAAAAUAUGAUUUAGAUAGAGAAUACUCCACCUUUCUUUUCAUCCUUUUCAAGCAUAGUUAAUUGGUCACUAGACUCACUGCAUGAUAUAAUGUUUCCUUAGCAAAAGAGGAUGCUAUAUGCUUUUCAUAGAAAGACAAAAUUAACUGUCAUGAACCCAGAAAGACACAGGACACAAAUGUUGGGGCUCUGUAAACUGCUGAAGCAGGGUCUUGGGAUCCUAGAUAAGGCCCUCACUUGAGCAUUCAAAUCUUCAUAAUUGUUAACCAAUACAGAAAGUGCCCACUAGCCGUCCUAAUGGUCUUUCCAUCCAGAUUCUAAAAAUAUGACGGCAGUGGUCCUUUUCAAGUUAUUUUAAGUGAUAAUCUCAUCUCUUAAAACUCAUAAAGUGAUUAGAACUUCUAGCAUCACCAUCAUUUUUCUCUCUCUUCAUAUUCUUUUUUCUUUUUUCUCUUUCUUAAGGAAUUCAAGGUUGGGAAAUUGGAAACGGCAGAAAUCUAUCAGGUAAAGGAAAAUAAAAUAUAGAAGAUAAUGCAUUAUGACUAUGGUAAAUGACAAAGACAAUAAGGACAAGCAAUAAAACAGAAUGGUGAUACCAACCAUAAAAAGUCCUCUUCCAAUGACAUUUCCUGAAGAUCAACAACCCGGAGUUUUAGAUGAAUUGCUCGCAACAAGGAAAGAACAUAUUCUUCCUUCAAAUUGCAAUGCGAUUCAUUGACUAUGUCAACUGCAUCAAUGUCAGAAGAGUCUACUGCUAGGAACAUAUCAAUCAGAGGAGGAAUAUCAUCAUUCUUGAGCUGAUUUAGCAAAACCUCAAAGGUACACUUCUUCUGGAAGAACUUCUGUAUUGUGGCCUAAAUAAAAGAAGAAAAGUUAUGCUUGCCACAAAAUAGUUUCUUCAAUGCAAAAACUGUACAAGUUUGUUACUGGAUCAAUCUACCAGCCAGUGAAGCAAAGAUGAUUAAUAAUCAUAGAGAAGAAAGCUAAGUUUCAUUAUGCUAUCAAGUUAGGACCAUAAGUAUUAUUUCAGAGAAAGAAAUGCACCUCCCAAGGCCAAAAAAACAAAAAAAGAAGAAGAAAAAAAAAAAAGACAGCUUGCUGCUUUAGGAGGUGGGAUAAAACUAACUUCAGAAAAAUCCAGUCCAAGCAGCACACAGUGCAACAUAUGGCUCUUUUCUGAAAGAUGGUUUAAGAAUCCCCUCAAUGCAAGCAAAAUGAUUCUAUACUAACAACCAACUUUUAUCCAAAAAAUAUGAUAUUAAUUGAUAAAAACAACAACAAGUGGACAGCCUUAGUCAGUAACAUCAGAUUCCACAAUCUAAAGCAGUCUGAAGGGAUAAAGGCAGAUGAAGGGGGGAGGUGCGUGUGCAAUAUCCUAACAAAGGAAACACUGUUCCCUAUUAAACAUGAGGGGCGGCGCAAACAUUCAUGAAGAAAGUUUAGUUUAAUAGACCUUAGAGAAGCAUGACAGUACGGCAGAAUUGGGUGGCACCUCAUGCCUCCUGCAAGAAUCAAGAUACCUAGCACAAAAAGAGAACGCAAUCUGAGAAUCAAUAAGAAUCUAAAAGUACAAGGAUUCAGAGAGCAAAAGCCACUAUCAACACCAGCAUCAAGAAAUCAAGCUUUUGAAAAUACUUGCAACUAUCAACCAAUGGAACGAGUCCAAACAUGAAAUGUUCUACAAAACAAAAGUAUUUGAAGCCAGAAUACUAAUAAUUCCACAAAUUUACUUUGCCAAAUAUCAAUAAAGGCAACAACAAGACUCAUAUUCUCAUAGAAACUAUAAAAUUUUCUAAAAAAAACUUAAUUGGCCAGUAAAAAGUUCCCAGAAAAUUUUAAUUAUGAUUCUUUUUUCUUUUUUUGGGUAUGUGAAAUUGUACAUUAGUUCAAUCAUUACUAAUCAAUCAAUCCAACUAGCUGACAGUAAUAUUUAGUUUAGUUAAUGUCGCUUUGAAUUUUGAAGAUUCUUCCCGCUACUGAUCAGAGAAAAGGAAUAGAUCAAAGGGAAGGUUAGCUUUGUGAACUAAUUUAUGCAAAGAUACUAGCUUUGAAUCUGAAAUAGAAAAAAAAAUCAUGUUUUGCUUUGUGGGUGUCCACAGAGGAUCUCUCUCUUUUGCUAAUUUCAGUCAUUUAUGUAAAAAAGCUGUAACAAUUGCCAACACUUUCUCUAAGCACUUGCCACCUGCUACUAAUUUUCCUUUGCCUCUUUUGGCUAAUUCCAUUCGUAACUCCCAUCAUUGGUUAACCUCCCAAAAUACCACGUCUAAAUUUCUCUUGAAAGCUGUACCAAACCCACCAAUCCUUUAACUCUUAAAUCCAUGAUUCAGUAGGAAAAAAAAAACAAAACACAGACAAGAAACCAGAAAACCCAGAAGAGAAAAAAAUUAAAGAAAGAAAAAGAUUUAAUUAGAGAUCAAUAUCAUACCGAGCUUCUAAGGUGGAGAUAUCCAUGCAAAUGAUUGGUGACUGUAGCUUUGCUUCUUCUAGUUCUUCACAUUAAUGGCGAAAAAAAUGAAGUCAAUGGAUCUAAGACACGGGAAAUAUUGCUAACAGUGUCAAAAACACAUGUCGAAUGGAUAAGCACACCUGUUCUUAAUUCUAAAUUCUAACAUUACUCAGUGCAGGAAGAGAAAGUGAAAUUUCAACCAAAUAAUAUUCGACAAGAUUACCUUUAGAAGUUAGGACCAUCAUCAAAUGGCCAUUAUGUAUUUGAGUCACGCAAUUAUAAUACAAAUAGUUUUUACAAGUUUAAUUUAUAAUUAUAUUUGUCGUUAUUUAUUUAUUGAAUGAUAAUCUAUUAUUCAAUUUGCUAAAAAAAUGUAUCGUUAGUCAUUGCUAAUUAAUGAUUAACUAUUAUUGGAUUUUGAAAAGCUAUUCUAAUGCUUAAAUUAUUAAAUUCUCCAAUCAAUUCGCAGUUUAAAAAGAUAUUUAAUAUUUUUUAUUUUUAUUAAUGAAAUAUAUCUAUAUACAUUGAAUUAUGUGCGAUGUAAUUAAUCUCUUACAUCCUAUAAAUAUAAUAAAUAUAGAAAGUGUAAGAUAUUUGGUUAGAUUUCUUUUAUUUGGUAAUCUCCUAAAAAAAAAAUCUAUAUAUAUAUAUAUAUAUAUUUUUUUUUUUUAUGGAGGUAAAAUUUAAAAAAAAAUGUGUAAAAUAACUCAACUACCUUUUGUUAUCAUAUGGAAAAAAAUAAUUAAAAUUAAUUUUUUUUAAACUUUGGUAAGGGAACGGAACUGUAAACAUUCUUAAUUAUAUCAAGUGAACACCACCAAGUUAACACAUAAAUAUUAUAAUCUUCAAUCAUUGUAUAAUUUUGUAUAUUAGAAAAUGAAUUAAGUUAAAUUAUUUUAGUGGAUCCUGUGGCUUUUAUUUUUGUCACGAUUUGUCAAAUCAAUGCCCAACUACUAACUAAGAUGUUGACAACAUUGUUAAUAUAAAAAGAUCAUUAAUCAUGUUAGAAAAUGAAAAUAAGCUUGUUAGAAAUAUGUCAAAUAAAAUACUUAUUUCUCAUUUUUUUUGUAUGAAAAAAUAGAGAAGAAAAUAAAUAAAAUUAAUUUCUGAGUAAUAUUUGAAGUUCACCAUCAAAUAAAAUUAGUUGUUUGAUUUGAAUUUGUUCUAAUGAGUUAAUAUUUCCCAACUAAUUAUCAAAUUUCUUUAUCUAUCCCUAGAAGGUGUAGAAUAUGGAAGGAUAAUUAAUUGAAGGUUUUGAUUGGGCCUAAAAAUGAAUGUUAGUAUCUUAGAGAAAAAAAGAAAAAGAAAAAAAAAAGCUCAGUGGUAGAAUAACGGUGGUUGACAACCACAUUUUGCACUGAUCAUCAUCGUCAUCAUCAUCAUUAUGUAAUAAAUGAGAAUAGUGGAUGUUGACAUGACAUUGUGUUUGAGAGUGAAACUCUCUAAAAUUUAAAUAUUUUGUUUUAACUUAGUUAAGAAAAUUUGAAGAUUUUAAAGAGAAAACGUGUCUCCCUUAACUCUUUCUCUCUCUACUUUAUAACUUUUAUGAAUUUUUAAAUAAUACUAACUCAUUUAAAAUUAAUCUCUAAUUUAUAUCUUUUAAAUAUAAUGGCUCUUGAAUAAUAACUCUUUUAAAAUUACUCUCUAAUUUAUUACUUUUAAAUAUAAUGGCUCUUGAAGUUCUCUUAUAAUUUUAAAUUUUCAAUUAGUUCAAUAUUAUUAGGUUAAGAAUGUUAGGAAUAAAAUUAUACAAAAUAAGUUUGAGAUAAAAUUUUAAUAUUGAGUUUGUUGUAUAUUAAUAUUAAUAUUGUUGGUGCAAAAAGGUAAUAAUUAUAUGGAUUUUGGAUCCGCAAAGUAAAAAUUAACCAAAAAUAAAUACUUGCAAUUAAUAUAUUUUUUGCAUGUGCUAAAUUAAUUUUGAGAUAAAAUUUUAGCAUUAAAUUUUUUCUAUAUUAAUAUUGCAAAUGAAAAUAGGUAUUAGCUAUAUGGAGUUUGGACGAGUAAAUGCAGAAAUUGUUCAAAAAUAAAUAUUUGCAACUAGUAUUAUUUUUGCAUGUGCUUUUAUCUAAUAAUGAUGAUAUAACCAUUUUGAUUUGAAUAAACUUUUUUACGUUCUUUAUUUUCGUUCACCUGCUAUCUUAAAAAUCAUGUUUCACCUUAAUUAGCGUAAACAAUUUUAAUUCUACACGAUAAUAUUUAAGUUUAAAUCAUGAAAUAUUAUAAAGCUCUGCGAAACAUAGAAAAUUGCAUAGUUAAAAAUUAAAGUAUAAAGUUAUAUUAGGAAGCCUCCUGUGUUUACUAAUAAUUAGAUAUGAGAAAUGAUGAAAAAGGCUAGGAGCUCUCCUAAUCUAUGUCAUAAUAACUCUCAUCUUUAAGAAUUUUGAUGUAUUUUAAAAAAUAAAUAAAUAAUAACAAUUAGACAAGGAUGAUUAGUUGAUCAUGAACACACGAGUAAUAUAUUAAUUGAAUAAUGACAAUUUACAAUAAUUAUUAUAUAAUAGAAAUAAUUGAAAUAUUAAAAAUUGGUUCCGGUAAUUGAUCAAGUCGACUAAUUCAAUCACGGAUAGCCAGUUCAAUUAGAUUCUCUUUCUUAAAUGAUGCAAAAGCCAAAUGGAUCCAAUUUUAAAAUUAGUUCACCAAAUUUUCGAGUUAAUUUUUUUUUUUUUUUUUUAAGAGAAAAUUAUGCUUGCACCUUUUAGUUGCGUUGAAUUUAAAGUUUGGUUAAAUUGCAAUUAUACCAUAAUAUUUAAAGCUUCUUUAAGGAAAAACUGAAGGUUGGGAAGUUAAAAUGUAUAAGGUUGAAUUUCUCUCCACACCUUAAAUAAUAAAGUUGUACUAUAAUAUUAUACUCUCUUUAUCCAAAUUAUAAUAAACUCAAAAUAACUUACAAAAAAAUAUUUAAUUUAAUAUAAAUAAUAAUAUGAUUAAAAAAAUAUUUAUUAAUUUUUUAAAUAAUCAAUACGUCUUAUAUUUUAAAAUAAAAUAAUCGCAAUUUAUAUUUAGUAGGGCAAAAAAAGUGCUACCGUUGCCAAAGGAUAAGAUUGAAGCUAAUUAGGCAAAACAUUUACACGCUUUGGUCAAAAUCCUUAAGUACGCGGCUAGCCAAUAUGGAAGCACCCAAACUAUUAACCAGUCUUUCACGUGUGGUCGCGCAAGUCCGUGCGUGUGCGCGCAUGCGCAUGCUUGUGUGUGCGUGUGUCCAUGAUUAUAUUUAGCUUGGUUUGGUAGGAUGAAUAUUGCUACUUUAAAAAAAUAAAAAUAAAAAUAAAAAUUGAUUCAUAUAAUAAAAAAAUUGAGUCAUUUAAUUGAAUAAGAACAUAAAAAUCACACUCUCUCUUCCUUCGUGAUUUACAAGAUAUUUAUGAAAGAAACAAAAAUAAGAAUUUGGAGGAGAAAGCAAGUUGUAGAAAAAGACAGAGAUGCAAGAAAGAAAACUUGUGAAGCACGUGUGCCACCCAAAGGAAUAUCUUAUGGAAAUUGAAAAGGAUUGUACAUUGGCUAACGAAUAAUUAGGCAAUUAGCCUACUAUGAUGGCUUAAUUAAAUUAUUAAUUGACUCGGUAAACUGAUCAAUUAACAAGUAAUUAUAAAAUAGUGGAUCUCCAUUUUAUACUUUUUCUUCUCAUAUACAAUUUUAAAUUUCUACUCAUCAUUUUAAAUUUGGUAAACGGCAGUGGAGUCAAUAUAUAAUUAAUUUUGAAAUGAUAUUCAUAUAAUAAUCAAAUAAGUUCAAAUUAAGUAAAAAUCUAAUUAAUUAAUUAGUAACUUCAAACAUAUACUACUAACCAUUUUGUUUUAGAUUAGUUCAUGAGAAAUUUGUAUAUCUAUAUUGAACUUGAAAUAAAAAUAAAGUUCACUCUUUAUUUAGCAUAGUAUUUUACCCUUUUUGUAAAUUUUUAUUUUUUUUUUCCUUAUUUUUUAUAUUUUAAUUCAACCACUUAAGGUAUCUUUAAAGUUUUAAAAUUAAUAUUUUUUUAUAAUAAUUUAUAUUGAUAUCUAUAUUUUUAAAUCCAUAUAUCUAUGUGUAUUUAUAUCCACACAUAUUUUAUAUAUCAAUUCAUAUCUAAAUCUAUAUAUCUAUAUUAAAGCUGAAUAAAAAAAAAGUUAUAAAUUCGAUUAUCCUUUUUCUUAUAUUCUUUUCCUUUAAAAUUUUUUAAAUUAUUUCUUUAUUUUUCUAUAUUUGAUUGAGCUAGUUAACAAUAUUUUUAAAAUCUUUCUAUCUAUUCAAGCCAAGAUAAAGUAAAAGUUCAAAAUUUGAUUUUCGCUUCAUUUAGUAUUUUGCUUUUUUCUUUUCAAGAAAGUUUUUGACUUUUUAUUUUUAUGUAUUUAUUUUACCGUCUAGGAUAGUUUUUUAAAGUUUAAAAAUUGUGCGUGUGUAUGUGAGAGAGAUAUAUAUUAGGAUGCUUUGUUAAUAUUAUCAUGGUUUUAAUAAAUGAUAUGUCAUUUGUGUCACGUGUAUAGUAAGUACUCUCUUAAAAAAAAAAAAGUUAUUUAUAAUAAUUACGAAUGAAAAUCUAAUAUAUUAAUUAUAUAUCAUUAAAAAAAUACUGAAAGUUCAUAGCUAGUUCUAUUUGUUGGUUUUUAAUAUUUAAAAUUUCAAUUAUUAUAUUAUUUUGAGAUAUUUAUUUAUUUAUUUUUUUGAGUAUUGGGGGAGAGGGAUUUGAAUCCAAAUCUAUUGCUGGGUCGUAUAUGCACUUAUCACUAGAUUAGGAUAAUAAUUAUUUAAGUUUGAAAGUUACUAUUUAUUUAUAAUAAUAUUAGAAAAAUAAUCAUAUUAAUUAAGUCAAAAUUAAAAAAUGUCAAAACUGCCCUCCCUUUAAUUUUACAAUUUUACUUGCAUUCUACUCUAUAGAGUAAAGUAUUCAGUUUCUUGAUUUUGAGCUUAAAUGCACUAAUUACGCUGUAUUUAAUUAGCUCUGAAACUGAAAGUUUUGUUUGAAAUUCUUGUCCUUGAUUUUUGCCUCAGCUGAAACAGUAUAUCUGCUUGGAUUGAAAAUACAAAAGCCUUAUACCCAAUCAUAUUGGGCUUAGCCCAUACAUAUCUAUCCAACUCCAACAUUAACCCUUUCGAGAUCAUUAACAUGAUUGGAUUUGGCUCAAUAUCAUUAUUAUCGGUAGAGAUGUCAUUUUCAAAACAAAAGGGAAAAAGAUACUCGAGCUUCUCAAGUUAGUUUUAGGAUUAUACAUUUGUAAGUUCAAAACUAAUCUAAACUUAGUUAAUCAAAUUGAGGUUUUAAUUUAUUUUUUUGUCUUUCCAAAUUAAUCCUACCAUGCUCUAGUCCAGGAGCACAAGGGGGAAUAAUAAAUUCAAGCUUCCUCCUUUCAAUUUUAAAAGAUAUUCCAUAUUAUCAUAAUCUUUUUUUCGUUAAUUAUGAUUUUCAAACUAUUUUUGAUUUGAGAGAGAAGAGAAAGAACCCACUAUCCAAAAGAAAAACUAUAUAUUAGAGAUUAAAUUAGGAAAGUAAGAACUAUAUCGUAUCAGUUUAAAUGGGUAGAGUAAGGCCAUAAAUGAUUUAUAUAAUUAUCAAUGGCUUAAAAGGAAUGAUAAAAAUAGUUGUACUACUAAUAUAAGAAAAUUUUAUGAUUUUAUCAUUAUAUUUUGUCAUAAUAUAUAAAUUGCUUGCAUUUUUCAGAAAUGCAUACUUUUGUUUUUAUCUUCUCUAUUUCUGUCGAUUUUUUAUACUUUUUUUCGUCAAUAAAUACUACUAUGUUUUUCAUAUAUUUUGUUAAAAUUUACAAUUUAUCCAUUUAUGUAUCAAUUAUUGUCUACAUAUUUCGCUAAAAUUAAGUAGCAAAAUUAAGUAAUUAUCCCUAUAUUUAAUAGAAGGUAGAAAAAAUUAACAUAAGAUACAUCAGUGUGUAACGGAUGAGGUAAAAAAUAUGGAUAAAAUUAUAUAUCUCUAAAUAAAAAAUAAAAUUAUUCGAAUCCAAUCGAUUACAGAUGUUUUUAUCAAUUUAAUAAGCAAGAGGAAAACUACCCCUACCCUUAUUACAUAAUGCAAAUAUUAAACAUUGCUUACCAAUAAUAAUACAUAUUCUUUGUAUUGGAUGCAGAUAAAAGCUUUACCUCAACAAAGAAAAUCUUUAACACCAAAAUGGUAGGGCUCUGACCAAAUGCCAGAAUCAAGAUAAACAAUCAUGCCAUCAAAUCAACUUGCUUUUCUUUCUUUUCUUUUUUUCCAUAAUUACCUUGCCCUUCCUUUUCUCUAUCAAACUGUAAUUUUUAGAUGACAAACAACCAGAGAUAACUACUCUUUUUUGUUUCUCUCUUUUAAUCUUUUGUUAGUUUUUAACUGAAACAAUUAAAGAAUAAAGCCAAACAUAUGAAAAAGCAAACGCAAGAACAGGCUGUUAAGAAAAGAAAGAAAGGAAAGAACAAAAGAGAGGCUCCCAAUAGAAUAAUCCAAAAUAUAUAAAAUGACAGUGAAUAGAAAACUACAAAAAUACAGAGUUUUUCCCCCCACACAGCUCUCCCUCCCUGUCCCUCAAAGAAUACUGAAUACAAAGCAAAUGUGGUUAAUCCCCAGGCAGAAAAAACCAAACCACUGGCCAGUAAGAUAUAGCAAUAAUUUAACAAAACAAUGGUAAUCAAAUAAAAAUAUCAAAUGGUGAGUCCGUAAAUAAAGAAGAAGAGCAUGUGGGGGACAAAAGAUUAAAAUAAUUUAACACCAAUAGCAAUAAUGGACAUUAUAAAACAUAUCUCUCUGUUUUGAUCUCUAGAAGAUCAAAGUCAUUGCUGCCCAUCCCAAUGCCAAGCCUCCGAGCAUCUUCUGUACUGACCUUAUCGAUUCUGAUCCGCUCUGCAAUUUGGAUCAAAAUUCAUUUUCAUAAUCCAGAUGUUAAGAAGAAUAAAUAAACUUGCAUAAAUUUCUACUUUAAUAAUUAUUCACGAGAAUGUUGUUGCCUCUCCCCGUUGGGAAGUUAAUGAUCUGAAAUUCUGAUGUUGAAAUUUCAAUGUUCGGUUUAGAGAAACAAUAAAUACACAUUCAUUAGAAAACCAUUAGCUUGAGAAUUAUUCGAUUCAAGAUAGAUCCUCCUUACGGGAAGUGAAACCGCUUUGUGCCAUAGAUUUUUAUUACUAUUGCAUUAAAACCUUUCAUCAACAGUUAUAAUUUUAUUAAUUAAAAGGACUUGCCCACUGUACUAAUAAAAUUAAUCACCUCCACAUUAAUGUUCUGCAGAUCCACGGAUGACACAGUGCAAUUCACUGUCAUUUGUACUACAGUGAUGGGGCGUGAAUCUUACGCGCCACAGUGUCGCGUUCAUCUCACUAGAGACAAGCGCUUACCACCAGAAGCAGUACUUGAGAAGCGCCAAGCUUUGCUUCCACUAAGCAGUUAUAAGGCAGCACCGACAUUUAGCAUUUCAAUAAUGGAUUAACUUGAGGGGCAAUAAUCCGGUCAUUUUAGGAAAUUUAAGCAUUCUUCACUAAUUUAGGCUCGGUGACCACUAACGAUAUCUAGAUUUUUUUCUAGUGCUAAAGAGGGAAAACACAGACCAUGGAUCUUUGCAUUAAACUUCAGAUCUGGAGGUGCAUUGCACUCCAGCGCAUGUCAGAUGGUAAGCCAAUCGGAAAAACAACUAAAACGAGCACUGGAAAGUAGAAAGUACCUCAUCGGCCACAGAAGCGGGACCAGGAGAGCUGGCGUCAAGGCUCGGUCCAGGUGCCUCCGUCGGUGGAGCUGGUGGACUCGACAACUCCGGACCAGGAGCAGGUGAAGCAGCGUGCUUCUUCGACUUUUUCUUGGUUGGAGUCGGUGCAGGAACCUCGGCGGUUGGCGCAGCCACUGGAGCUGAAGGAGCAGUUUCCGGAGGAGAGCUUGUUGGUGGAGUAACUGGUGCUGGUGAUGGAGGAGAUUGGGCCGGAGAUUUUGCUGGAGUUUUUGCUGGAGGAGAGCUCACUGGAACUGCAACAGGUGGUGAACUAAUAGGAGCGGCGGCAAGUGGUGGUGUAGCUACCGGAGCCGCAGCCGGAGCUGGCACCUUCUGUUUGGUCGGAGAAGCUGCUGGUGUCUUCGCUGGUGGUGAAGACACUGGAACUGCAACAGGAGCAGGCGAUUUAGAUUUUGCUGGUGCUUUAGCAGGUGCAGUUACAGGCGCUGCAGGAGCCAACGGAGUAGCAGUCGGUGCUGCACCUGGAGCUUGGCCGCCGACGCCGGCGACAAUGAUGCACAUUAAUGCAACAGAAAAAACGCUUUUGCGAUCCAUCUUGGCAGAGGAGAGA